AUGGCCCCCAAGGCGGCGGAGAAGAAGCCGGCGGCGAAGAAGCCCGCGGAGGAGGAGGCCACGACGGAGAAGGCCGAGAAGGCGCCGGCCGGGAAGAAGCCCAGGGCCGAGAAGCGGCUGCCGGCGGCGGGCAAGAGCAAGACUUCCGGCAAGGAGGGCGGCGGCGACAAAAAGUCGAAGAAGAAGAGCAAGAAGAGCGUGGAGACGUACAAGAUCUACAUCUUCAAGGUGCUGAAGCAGGUGCACCCCGACAUCGGCAUCUCCUCCAAGGCCAUGUCCAUCAUGAACUCCUUCAUCAACGACAUCUUCGAGAAGCUCGCCGGCGAGGCCGCCAAGCUCGCCCGCUACAACAAGAAGCCCACCAUCACCUCCCGGGAGAUCCAGACCUCCGUACGCCUCGUCCUCCCCGGCGAGCUCGCCAAGCACGCCGUCUCCGAGGGCACCAAGGCCGUCACCAAGUUCACCUCCUCUUAG
RNAcentral lists this ribosomal RNA (474 nucleotides) under Triticum aestivum (bread wheat). Its description in RNAcentral is "partial small subunit ribosomal RNA". The record is from RNAcentral. Lineage: Eukaryota; Viridiplantae; Streptophyta; Magnoliopsida; Poales; Poaceae.